UACGUAGGGGGCAAGCGUUAUCCGGAUUUACUGGGUGUAAAGGGAGCGUAGACGGUGUGGCAAGUCUGGUGUGAAAGGCAUGGGCUCAACCUGUGGACUGCAUUGGAAACUGUCAUACUUGAGUGCCGGAGGGGUAAGCGGAAUUCCUAGUGUAGCGGUGAAAUGCGUAGAUAUUAGGAGGAACACCAGUGGCGAAGGCGGCUUACUGGACGGUAACUGACGUUGAGGCUCGAAAGCGUGGGGAGCAAACAGG
This 253-nucleotide ribosomal RNA is filed under the name Blautia wexlerae DSM 19850. Its description in RNAcentral is "partial 16S ribosomal RNA". It matches the Rfam family "Bacterial small subunit ribosomal RNA", at positions 524 to 776 of the family's 1533-position model. Lineage: Bacteria; Bacillati; Bacillota; Clostridia; Lachnospirales; Lachnospiraceae. The record is from RNAcentral.